AAGAUUUGGUGCCGACAUAGUAAUAUGAAGGUGAAAAGGGAAUCAGGUGAAAGACCUGAACUGUUUCCGCAGCUGUAAGUUCCCCAAAUGUUCUGUACAUCCUUUGUCACUGUUCCUCGGAAUGGGAAGACGGUACGGAACGGAACAAGUCAGAAGACCUGCCAAUUCUUGUU
Molecule: non-coding RNA, 173 nt
Filed under: bovine gut metagenome
Source: RNAcentral